This 467-nucleotide ribosomal RNA is filed under the name uncultured bacterium. RNAcentral describes it as "partial 16S ribosomal RNA". It matches the Rfam family "Bacterial small subunit ribosomal RNA", at positions 28 to 507 of the family's 1533-position model. The record is from RNAcentral.
GACGAACGCUGGCGGCGUGCUUAACACAUGCAAGUCGAACGGAAAGGCUCCAGCUUGCUGGAGUACUCGAGUGGCGAACGGGUGAGUAACACGUGGGUAAUCUGCCCUGCACUCUGGGAUAAGCCUGGGAAACUGGGUCUAAUACUGGAUAUGACCUUUCUCCCUAUGGGGUUUGGUGGAAAGUUUUUCGGUGUAGGAUGAGCCCGCGGCCUAUCAGCUUGUUGGUGGGGUGAUGGCCUACCAAGGCGACGACGGGUAGCCGGCCUGAGAGGGUGAUCGGCCACAUUGGGACUGAGAUACGGCCCAGACUCCUACGGGAGGCAGCAGUGGGGAAUAUUGCACAAUGGGCGGAAGCCUGAUGCAGCGACGCCGCGUGAGGGAUGACGGCCUUCGGGUUGUAAACCUCUUUCAGCAGGGACGAAGCGUAAGUGACGGUACCUGCAGAAGAAGCACCGGCUAACUAUGUG